This is a long non-coding RNA of Cyprinus carpio carpio, 1386 nucleotides long. The record is from Ensembl. Lineage: Eukaryota; Metazoa; Chordata; Actinopteri; Cypriniformes; Cyprinidae.
GGGGAAUCUAAAAUUUUGAUUUUCGUCUCUUGACAGGAGGGGACUGGGCCUGAGAACUCUGGAGGUCUUUGGUAAGUAAUCACAAGGGGAGGGGGGCAAGGGCUCUUCCGUCCUUUCCCAGAACUUCCACCAGUCUCCUGACUAAUCCUAAGUCCUUCCUUAACGGCUUGAUUUCCCGUGGCGCCCUUCUCUUCUCCUGAAGGCAACAAGAACACACAAUGAGUAAUGGGUAAAACGGAGAAUGCCUUGCUCCUAGCUUCUUUGCUCUUUGGGUUGUACUUCACCAGCGUCUGGACAGCUCCUCCACUCCCAUAGACCUCCUAGGUAGAUAUAAGGUAACACACAAAUCCCUGAGGGCACAGGUAAGUAACAAAGGUAAGGAUGUAGCAAGGUAACUAGGCCAUGCCCCUGGAUGUCCACCGGUAUAUCAGAAGCGAGUAACUUUUUACUCGUAACACAGAUAGGUAUUGAGCAAGGUGACUGACUCUUCACACUAGGCUUACUGAGCGGGUUCCAGAGCAAUGGCUUUUAACUCGUGCAGGCGGAUAAGUAUUCAACAAGUAGCUGUAUCUUCACACUGGGCUUUACAGGGCGUAUUCAAGGUCAGUAGCUUUUAGCUCGUACAAACAGGUAAGUAUUCAACAAGUGACUGUAUCUUCACGCUGGGCUUUACAGGGCGUAUUCAAGGGCAAUAGCUUUCCCCACAAUAUCCGCACAAUACCUUGUUUUGCUUUCGCGCUUCACCUUCAAGCUGGGUCCGGAGAACGGAGUUAUAGGCGGGCAUAGGUGGGAUAGGUGGGCACCGCCACGGCAGCCUACGUUCUCUCCAACAGGAACUUUUCUCGGCCUGGAGGGCGAGUACAGACAACAGGGACACGGCACAGCACUGCAAAGCUUUGGUGUACACACGUCAAAGACAGACUCACCCACUGCACUACACACACUUCAGUGAUUUUUAAGGUCGGUACUCCACGCCCGGUCGGAUUUCGUCCUGGAGGAGUUUGCAGUCGCUGUCACGGUAAGUGCUCCAAACUUUACGGUGUGGCCACAGCCAAAUAACAUCCAUUCACCCACGCUCUACUUCGGCUCACCCACUCGUCUCGUCCUCCAACGAUGGGGCCGCUCAACAAGCUGUUAAUCACUCCAACAGGUAUUAGUUAUCCAUAUCCAAGUAUGAGCAAUGAUAUGUAAGCAAUCCAAUGUACUCACAGUCUUCGCGAUACUGAUCCUCUCCCGCUCUCUUUCUCAUCCAGAUAUAAACAACAAUCUAAGCAAUCCAAUGUACUCACAGUCUUCGUAAUACUGAUCUCCUCCCGCUCUCUUUCUCUCCCCAGCUUCGUGCAGACGCCCAGAAAUGUCUUCGUUGUUCCACAAUGUCACUAUUUC